GGACGGGUGAGUAACACGUGGGCAACCUGCCUGUAAGACUGGGAUAACCCCGGGAAACCGGGGCUAAUACCGGAUAAUACUUUUCAUCACCUGAUGGGAAGUUGAAAGGUGGCUUUUAGCUACCACUUACAGAUGGGCCCGCGGCGCAUUAGCUAGUUGGUGAGGUAACGGCUCACCAAGGCAACGAUGCGUAGCCGACCUGAGAGGGUGAUCGGCCACACUGGGACUGAGACACGGCCCAGACUCCUACGGGAGGCAGCAGUAGGGAAUCUUCCGCAAUGGACGAAAGUCUGACGGAGCAACGCCGCGUGAGUGAUGAAGGUUUUCGGAUCGUAAAGCUCUGUUGUUAGGGAAGAACAAGUGCCGUUCGAAUAGGGCGGCACCUUGACGGUACCUAACCAGAAAGCCCCGGCUAACUACGUGCCAGCAGCCGCGGUAAUACGUAGGGGGCAAGCGUUGUCCGGAAUUAUUGGGCGUAAAGCGCGCGCAGGCGGUCCUUUAAGUCUGAUGUGAAAGCCCACGGCUCAACCGUGGAGGGUCAUUGGAAACUGGAGGACUUGAGUACAGAA
This 569-nucleotide ribosomal RNA is filed under the name Virgibacillus halodenitrificans. RNAcentral describes it as "bacterial SSU rRNA". It matches the Rfam family "Bacterial small subunit ribosomal RNA", at positions 100 to 653 of the family's 1533-position model. The record is from RNAcentral. Lineage: Bacteria; Bacillati; Bacillota; Bacilli; Caryophanales; Bacillaceae.